This is a long non-coding RNA of Cyprinus carpio carpio, 1458 nucleotides long. NCBI's taxonomy places the organism in Eukaryota, Metazoa, Chordata, Actinopteri, Cypriniformes, Cyprinidae. The record is from Ensembl.
AUGAGAUUACUCUUAUAUUUUACUGUACUCACCCAACUGCUGAACAUGUCUACCACCGCCGCAAACGAUGAAGACCAAUGGCAAAUUGAAUCCAUCGAAGAGUCCCAGCAACAAAUAAGUCAAGAAGCGGAAGACAUUCAAGACGAAAGCAACGCUUCUGUCCGUCGGAGCUCUCGCCUGGCGAGUAAAUCAUAUAGUCCUCCAAGUAUCAUUGAAUGGCCACUGCCGAAGUUACUGGAAACCUUGUAUAGACACGAUAUCCCUGCACCGACUGGAGCUACGCAUAAGGAACUGUUUGCUUUACUCUGUGAGAAAAUUGACGUCCCAGCAGCAGAUUUCCCUCCUCCUCCUCCUUUUUCCGGCAGGAAACAGGCGCAGAAGAGAAAGAAUUUCGACCCGGCUUCCACUCCGACUGAUGUUGCACCCAAGCGGGCAGGUGGUUCAGCCGUCUCAAACAGAGCAGUCAACUCUUCUUCAGUCCAAAGCAAAGACCCAGUGUUGUCAGCAUUGUCAAGCAUUCAGUUUUCGCUCUCCAACAUGAACUCCAGAAUUCAGGCUCUGGAGUCCGGUUCAACAUCGAGGUCCUCGGCAAAUCUUCUCUUCUCCGGCCCGCUUGCUGAGAACUCCUCAUCGGCCACUGCGCCGGCGCGGCUGCCCGGGCUUACCCAGCAGCAGGACGAUGACGUCAUCAAUUCGGGGACUAUACCACGAAGAACGAUGGGAAGUGCAGUUCCAGUGUCUACAGGCUCUCCAUUCUUUCCGCCGGCUGCUGCGAUUUCUCAUCAGUUGAGAAGCCAAAUCGUUGCAGGUAAUGAUGUUAAUCUUGUGAAAAUAUUGCUGUGCUCAGAAAUGAGUGAGAAGCGUGUUGUUGACUGUGGCGAUGUUUCUGUUAUGCUUAAAGACAGCGAUCCCCGGCUUUCAAAAAUGUUAACUCUAGCUGAAUUUAACGUGGCAUUUGGGGUUUACAGAGAUGUCAUAUGCGAAGUCUAUCCGUCUCGUAGAGCCGAGCUUGACACAUAUUUAGCAAUUAUUUCUGACUUGGCUUUGACUUAUGGAGGAACUCUCUUCUAUGACUAUCAUAAGUCAUUCUCUGCAAAAGCUGCUAUGUUCAUUCAACGUUUCAAUCAGAGAUUGGACUGGUCUGUAGUCGACUUAACCCUCAUAAGCAGACAUUUCACUGGUCAUCAGGCUCUCUCUUGCUCGAUCUGUGGCUCUCAUUCUCACACUCUCAAUCUAUGCCCAAAAUCUGUGUCUCCUCCACCCUCUAAGCCUGGCUUUCAAACUGUUGACUCUAAGGUAACAUCAUUUGCUACUCCGUUGUGCUAUAAUUUUAAUGAAAAUGUUUGCAAAUUCUAUAAUUGUAAAUAUGUUCAUGCUUGUAGUUACUGCGGGGACGGCCACCCAAAAUCUGUGUGCCCAAGACGAACCCGCUUUAUGAAAAAGGAGAAAAAGAAAUAA